This 75-nucleotide transfer RNA is filed under the name Anaerolineae bacterium. RNAcentral's name for it is "tRNA-Asn". It matches the Rfam family "tRNA". From Rfam's summary of the family: Transfer RNA (tRNA) molecules are approximately 80 nucleotides in length. Lineage: Bacteria; Bacillati; Chloroflexota; Anaerolineae. The record is from RNAcentral.
UGCGGGAUAGCUCAACGGUAGAGUGCCCGGCUGUUAACCGGAGAGUUGCAGGUUCGAAUCCUGCUCCCGCAGCCU